This is a long non-coding RNA of Pecten maximus, 10508 nucleotides long. RefSeq lists it as uncharacterized. The transcript is spliced from 2 exons. The record is from RefSeq and is a predicted model, not a curated record. Lineage: Eukaryota; Metazoa; Mollusca; Bivalvia; Pectinida; Pectinidae.
UUUUUUUUUUAGGAUCUUGGUAUGCAAUGGUUAUCUUUGCAAUGUUCACACUUGAUUUGUCCUUUUCAGAUGGGAUGGGUAACUGUGAUUAUGGAUUUUUUGAUGCCAUUGUAUAGAUGUUGAAUUUGUAAACAAGAAAGAUGGCGACUAGAUCAUCUGGUGUAUCUCUAUAAUACGUUAUAUAGAUGUUGAAUUUGUAAACAAGAAAGAUGGCGACUAGAUCAUCUGGAAAAUACUGUAAAAAAUUAUUUAUCUGUAGAACAAAUUGGCUGCUGAUAGGACCAUCAAGUAUCAGUUAAACUCAAACAGAAGAGUUUCCCGGUUUCUGAUUAGGUGGAAAAUAUACUUCGCACCAAUGUUAUGAUACCAUGACGAGUAAUUUGAUAACAACAUAGAAAGGUAGUGACGUUUACGUUGGUGUAUCUGUAUUAAAAAGACAGUUAAAUUGCAUUCGGCAAGUUAUAUAUUGUUGAGUUUCAUAAAAAUCUUAAAAUAUCUGUAUAGAUCUGACUGGUAUGUUGUUUGACAUUCUUAUAUGUCAUAUAUAUAUAAUAAUAAUAAUGGUAUAGGUUGGAAGUUAUGUAUGACAAAAUGGAAAGUUGAAUGUUCUUGUAGAUCCUCAGGUGGACAUUGAAAAAAAAAGAAACUGCCUAAGUUAUGGAUUUGAUGGAAAGGCGAUGAUAUAUAUAUAUAUAUAUAUAAUCAAUUACAGACAUUGUAUUCAAAUAUUACAUCCUUAUCUUUGUGUUAUUCACAUUUAGUUUGCCCUUUCACUCUGAAAGGUAACUGUGUCCGGAUCAUUGACUUUUUGAAGCCAUUAGAUUGAUAAUUAAGCGUGACAAGAUGAAAAGGUGACGGUUGUGGUAGAUCCUUUGGUAUAUCUGUAUUAAUAAAAAAGAUAAAAUUACUUACAGACAUUGUAUUCAAAUAUUACAUCCUUAUCUUUGUGUUAUUCACAUUUAUUUUGCCCUUUUCCUCUAACAGGUAACUGUGUCAGGAUCAUUGACUUUUUGAAGCCAUUAGAUUGAUAAUUAAGCGUGACAAGAUGAAAAGGUGACGGUUGUGGUAGAUCCUUUGGUAUAUCUGUAUGAAUAAAAAAGAUAAAAUUAAUUACAGACAUUGCAUUCAAAUAUUACAUCCUUAUCUUUGUGUUAUUCACAUUUAGUUUGCCCUUUUCCUCUAACAGGUAACUGUGUCAGGAUCAUUGACUUUUUGAAGCCAUUAGAUUGAUAAUUAAGCGUGACAAGAUGGAAAAGGUGACGGUUGUGGUAGAUCCUUUGGUAUAUCUGUAUGAAUAAAAAAGAUAAAAUUAAUUACGUACAUUGUAUUCAAAUAUUACAUCCUUAUCUUUGUGUUAUUCACAUUUAGUUUGCCCUUUUCCUCUAACAGGUAACUGUGUCAGGAUCAUUGACUUUUUGAAGCCAUUAGAUUGAUAAUUAAGCGUGACAAGAUGGAAAAGGUGACGGUUGUGGUAGAUCCUUUGGUAUAUCUGUAUGAAUAAAAAAGAUAAAAUUAAUUACAUACAUUGUAUUCAAAUAUUACAUCCUUAUCUUUGUGUUAUUCACAUUUAUUUUGCCCUUUUCCUCUAACAGGUAACUGUGUCAGGAUCAUUGACUUUUUGAAGCCAUUAGAUUGAUAAUUAAGCGUGACAAGAUGGAAAAGGUGACGGUUGUGGUAGAUCCUUUGGUAUAUCUGUAUGAAUAAAAAAGAUAAAAUUAAUUACAGACAUUGCAUUCAAAUAUUACAUCCUUAUCUUUGUGUUAUUCACAUUUAGUUUGCCCUUUUCCUCUAACAGGUAACUGUGUCAGGAUCAUUGACUUUUUGAAGCCAUUAGAUUGAUAAUUAAGCGUGACAAGAUGGAAAAGGUGACGGUUGUGGUAGAUCCUUUGGUAUAUCUGUAUGAAUAAAAAGAUAAAAUUAAUUACGUACAUUGUAUUCAAAUAUUACAUCCUUAUCUUUGUGUUAUUCACAUUUAUUUUGCCCUUUUCCUCUAACAGGUAACUGUGUCAGGAUCAUUGACUUUUUGAAGCCAUUAGAUUGAUAAUUAAGCGUGACAAGAUGGAAAAGGUGACGGCUGUGGUAGAUCCUUUGGUAUAUCUGUAUGAAUAAAAAAGAUAAAAUUAAUUACAGACAUUGCAUUCAAAUAUUACAUCCUUAUCUUUGUGUUAUUCACAUUUAUUUUGCCCUUUUCCUCUAACAGGUAACUGUGUCCGGAUAUUGACUUUUUGAAGCCAUUAGAUUGAUAAUUAAGCGUGACAAGAUGAAAAGGUGACGGCUGUGGUAGAUCCUUUGGUAUAUCUGUAUGAAUAAAAAAGAUAAAAUUAAUUACAGACAUUGUAUUCAAAUAUUACAUCCUUAUCUUUGUGUUAUUCACAUUUAGUUUGCCCUUUUCCUCUUACAGAUAACUGUGUCCGGAUCAUGGACUUUUUUGAAGCCAUGGUAUAGAUAUUAGAAUGGUAGUUCUGUGCGGUGAGAUAAAGAUAUUGUGGGAAAGCUAUAGAUAUCCUCAUGUAUAUCUCUAUCAAAAAUGACAAAGUUAAUAAAUUAUGUUAGGUUAAUCAUUUGAUGAUAUGAAUCCUUAAAAUCUCAAAAUAUAUGUAUAGAACAUAUAUGGGAACCCAAGUUUCUGAUUGAGAUCAAAAAAACAUUCAACUUAAAACUCAUCCAGAUUUCUUUUUCCUUUUUUCAAGUUUCCUUUGUUGUAUUUGAUAGUUGUGCUGAUAGAAAAGUUGGUGAUUUAAUGUGACAAGAUGAAAAGGUGGUGGUUCCGGUGGAUCCUCUGGUGUAUCUGUAUAAAAAAAAAGAGAUAAAAUUAAUAACAGACAUUGUAUUCAAAUAUGACAUCGUUAUCUUUGUGUUAUUCACAUUUAGUUUGCCCUUUCAUUCUGAUUGGUAACUGUGCACGAAUUAUUGACUUUUUUGAAGCCAUGGUAUAGAUAUUUAAGAAUGGUAGUUCUGUGUGAAGAGAUAAAGACAUUGUGUGGAACCUAUAGAUCCUCAGGUGUAUCUCUAUAAAAAUGACAAGUUAAUGAAUUAUAUUAGGUAAGUCAUUUGAUUAUAAAAAUCUUCAAAAUCUCAGAAUAUAUUUAUAGAACAUAUCGGCACCCCAGUUUCUGAUUGAGAUAAAAAAAGAAAGAAAAAAAAAAAAUCAACUUAAUCCUUAAUUUAUCAUAUAAAUUUUGUGCAAGUUAAGAAAAAAAACUUAUCCAGAUUUCUUUUUCCUUCUUUCAAGUUUUCUUCGUUGUAUUUGAUAGUUGUGCUGAUAGAAAAGUUGGUGAUUUAAUUUGACAAGAUGAAAAGGUGGUGGUUCUGGUGUAUCUGUAUAAAAAAAAAAAAAUUAAAUUAAUUACAGACAUUGCAUUCAAAUAUUACAUCCUUAUCUUUGUGUUAUUCACAUUUAGUUUGCCCUUUUCCUCUGACAGGUAACUGUGCAUGAAUUAUUGACUUUUUUGAAGCCAUGGUAUAGAUAUUUAAGAAUGGUAGUUCUGUGUGAAGAGAUAAAGACAUUGUGUGGAACCUAUGGAUCCUCAGGUGUAUCUCUAUAAAAAUGACAAGUUAAUGAAUUAUAUUAGGUAAGUCAUUUGAUUAUAAAAAUCUUCAAAAUCUCAGAAUAUAUUUAUAAAACAUAUCGGCACCCCAGUUUCUGAUUGAGAGCAAAAAAAAAAAAAAAAAAAUUCAACUUAAUCCUGAUUGUUUUAUUUUAUAAUCGUACUGAUAGAAAAGUUAAUCGUACUUAUAGAAAAGUUGGUGAUUUAAUGUGACAAGAUGAAAAGGUGGUGGUUCUGGUGUAUCUGUAUAAAAAAAAAGAAGAUAAAAUUAAUUACAGACAUUGCAUUCAAAUAUUACAUCCUUAUCUUUGUGUUAUUCACAUUUAGGUUGGUCUUUCACUCUGAUUGGUAACUGUGUCCGGAUCAUUGACUUUUUUGAAGCCAUGGUAUAGAUAUUUGAUUGGUAGUUCUGUGUGAAGAGAUAAAGACAUUGUGUGGAACCUAUAGAUCCUCAGGUGUAUCUCUAUAAAAAUGACAAGUUAAUGAAUUAUAUUAGGUAAGUCAUGAUUAUAAAAAUCCUCAAAUCUCAGAAUAUAUUUAUAGAACAUAUCGGCACCCCAGUUUCUGAUUGAGAUAAAAAAAAAAAUUGACUUAAUCCUUAAUUUAUCAUAUUAGUUUUGUGCAAGUUUAGAAAGAAAAACUUUGUUCCAGAUUUCUUUUUCCUUCUUUCAAGUUGUGCUGAUAGAAAAGUUGGUGAUUUAAUGUGACUAGAUGAAAAGGUGGUGGUUCUGGUGUAUCUGUAUAAAAAAAAAGAAGAUAAAAUUAAUUAUAGACAUUGCAUUCAAAUAUUACAUCGUUAUCUUUGUGUUAUUCACAUUUAGGUUGGCCUUUCACUCUGAUUGGUAACUGUGCACGAAUUAUUGACUUUUUUGAAGCCAUGGUAUAGAUAUUUAAGAAUGGUAGUUCUGUGUGAAGAGAUAAAGACAUUGUGUGGAACCUAUAGAUCCUCGGGUGUAUCUCUAUAAAAAAAAUGACAAAGUUAAUAAAUUGUUUUGGGUACGACAUUUGAUGAUAAGACUCCUUAAAAUCUCAAAAAUAUUUUGUAUAUAACAUAUGGGCAUCCAAGUUUCUUAUUGAGAUAAAAAAAAAUUGACUUAAUCCUGAAUUUAUCAUAUAAAAAUUGUGCAAGUUAAGAAAAAAAAUUUAAUCCAGAUUUCUUUUUCCUUCUUUCAAGUUUUCUUCAUUGUAUUUGAUAGUUGUGCUGAUAGAAAAGUUGGUGAUUUAAUGUGACAAGAUGAAAAGGUGGUGGUUCUGGUGUAUCUAAAAAAAAAAAGGAUAAAAUUAAUUAUAGACAUUGCAUUCAAAUAUUACAUCGUUAUCUUUGUGUUAUUCACAUUUAGGUUGGCCUUUCACUCUGAUUGGUGACUGUGCACGGAGUAUUGACUUUUUUGAAGCCAUGGUAUAGAGAUUAGAUUGAUAAUUAAGCGUGACAAGAUGAAAAGGUGACGGUUGUGGUAGAUCCUUUGGUAUAUCUGUAUAAAUAAAUAAGGUAAAAUUAAUUGCAGACAUUGUAUUCAAAUACUACAUCCUUAUCUUUGUGUUAUUCACAUUUAGUUUGCCCUUUUCCUCUAACAGGUAACUGUGUCCAGAUCAUUGACUUUUUGAAGCCAUUAGAUUGAUAAUUAAGCGUGACAAGAUGAAAAGGUGACGGCUGUGGUAGAUCCUUUGGUAUAUCUGUAUGAAUAAAAAAGAUAAAAUUAAUUACAGACAUUGUAUUCAAAUAUUACAUCCUUAUCUUUGUGUUAUUCACAUUUAUUUUGCCCUUUUCCUCUAACAGGUAACUGUGUCCGGAUCAUUGACUUUUUGAAGCCAUAAGAUUGAUAAUUAAGCGUGACAAGAUGAAAAGGUGACGGCUGUGGUAGAUCCUUUGGUAUAUCUGUAUGAAUAAAAAAGAUAAAAUUAAUUACAGACAUUGCAUUCCAAUAUUACAUCCUUAUCUUUGUGUUAUUCACAUUUAGUUUGCCCUUUUCCUCUAACAGGUAACUGUGUCCGGAUCAUUGACUUUUUUGAAGCCAUGGUAUAGAUAUUAGAAUUGUAGUUCUGUGCGGUGAAAUAAAGAUAUUGUGGGAAAGCUAUAGAUAUCCUCAUGUAUAUCUCUAUCAAAAAUGACAAAGUUAAUAAAUUAUGUUAGGUUAAUCAUUUGAUGAUAUGAGUCCUUCAAAUCUCAAAAUAUACCAGGUAUGUAUAGAACAUGUAUGGGAACCCAAGUUUCUGAUUGAGAACAAAAAAACAUUCAACUUAAAACUUAUCCAGAUUUCUUUUUCCUUUUUUCAAGUUUCCUUUGUUGUACAUGUAUUUGAUAGUUGUGCUGAUAGAAAAGUUGGUGAUUUAAUGUGACAAGAUGAAAAGGUGGUGGAUCCUAUGUUGUAUCAAUCUGUAUAAAAAAAGGUAAAAUUAAUUACAGACAUUGCAUUCAAAUAUUACAUCGUUAUCUUUGUGUUAUUCACAUUUAGGUUGGUCUUUCACUCUGAUUGGUAACUGUGCACGAAUUAUUGACUUUUUUGAAGCCAUGGUAUAGAUAUUUGAUUGGUAGUUCUGUGUGAAGAGAUAAAGACAUUGUGUGGAACCUGUAGAUCCUCAGGUGUAUCUCUAUAAAAAUGACAAGUUAAUGAAUUAUAUUAGGUAAGUCAUGAUUAUAAAAAUCUUCAAAAUCUCAAUAUAUUUAUAGAACAUAUCGGCACCCCAGUUUCUGAUUGAGAUAAAAAAAAAAUUGACUUAAUCCUUAAUGUAUCAUAUUAGUUUUGUGCAAGUUAAGAAAGAAAAACUUUGUUCCAGAUUUCUUAUUCCUUCUUUCAAGUUGUGCUGAUAGAAAAGUUGGUGAUUUAAUGUGACUAGAUGAAAAGGUGGUGGUUCUGGUGUAUCUGUAUAAAAAAAAAGAAGAUAAAAUUAAUUACAGACAUUGCAUUCAAAUAUUACAUCCUUAUCUUUGUGUUAUUCACAUUUGGGUUGGCCUUUCAUUCUGAUUGGUAACUGUGCACGAAUUAUUGACUUUUUUGAAGCCAUGGUAUAGAUAUUUAAGGAUGGUAGUUCUGUGCGGUGACAUGAAGAUAUUGUGUGGAACCUAUAGAUCCUCGGGUGUAUCUCUAUAAAAAAAAUGACAAAGUUAAUAAAUUGUUUUGGGUACGACAUUUGAUGAUAAGACUCCUUAAAAUCUCAAAAAUAUUUUGUAUAUAACGUAUGGGCAUCCAAGUUUCUUAUUCAGAUAAAAAAAAUUGACUUAAUCCUGAAUUUAUCAUAUAAAAAUUGUGCAAGUUAAGAAAAAAAACUUAUCCAGAUUUCCUUUUCCUUCUUUCAAGUUUUCUUCGUUGUAUUUGAUAGUUGUGCUGAUAGAAAAGUUGGUGAUUUAAUGUGACAAGAUGAAAAGGUGGUGGUUCUGGUGUAUCUAAAAAAAAAAGGAUAAAAUUAAUUAUAGACAUUGCAUUCAAAUAUUACAUCGUUAUCUUUGUGUUAUUCACAUUUAGGUUGGCCUUUCACUCUGAUUGGUAACUGUGCACGGAGUAUUGACUUUUUUGAAGCCAUGGUAUAGAGAUUAGAUUGAUAAUUAAGCGUGACCAGAUGAAAAGGUGACGGCUGUGGUAGAUCCUUUGGUAUAUCUGUAUAAAUAAAUAAGGUAAAAUUAAUUGCAGACAUUGUAUUCAAAUACUACAUCCUUAUCUUUGUGUUAUUCACAUUUAGUUUGCCCUUUUCCUCUUACAGGUAAUUGUGUCUGGAUCAUGGACUUUUUUGAAGCCAUGGUAUAGAUAUUAGAAUGGUAGUUCUGUGCGGUGAGAUAAAGACAUUGUGGGAAAGCUAGAUAUACUCAUGUAUAUCUCUAUAAAAAAUGACAGAAUUAAUAAAUUAUAUAAGGUAGAUCAUUUGAUUAUAAGAAUCUGUAAAAUCUCAAAAUAUAAGAGCAAAAAAAUAUUCAACUUAAUCCUGAAAUUAUUAUAUUCUAUUAAAAUAAGUUUUAAAAAAAAAGAAAAAAAAAAACCCAACUUAUCCAGAUUUCUGUUUCCUUCUUUCAAGUUUUCCUUUGUUGUAUUUGAUAGUUGUGCUGACAAAAAAGUUUGAUGAUAGCUACGGUGUUUAUAGAUGUCAAUAUAGAUGAUGGUUUUCCCUCAGCACAGGCAUACGUUAUGAUAUACUGAAGGGUCUUAUGGGGUAUGUGGAGAAGGGGGCCACUCGGGUAUAAGAAUAAUCAAGUUUGACACUAAUUUUGUACUACCUCUGCCCUGCAGGUAGGGCGUAAGAAUUGUACCUGCUGCCCCCAUUGCAUGAUCGUAAGAGGCGACUAAAUUUGGGAUCUUUCUUUUUUAUUCUUUCUAAGCAAUUUUCUUCUUAAUGUCCCUUUUACACUACUUUCCUUUUUGGUCUUUAGUUUAGCAUGAGCAUUUGCCCCUGUGAGGAAGGCUUUUGGGUUCGUUUGCUUGGCCAAGACAUACCAGAGCCUUAGAAAAUGGUCAUUUCUACUCUUGCUAGCACUAUAUGCAUUUAAGGAGUGGGAUUUGUUCCCCUUUUGUCAGUAUAAUAUGACUGGGUGGGGUGUCCUGCUGGGUGUCUGGUAGUAAAUUCAGUGAGAUUGCACUAUAAAGUCGACAUUAGUUUUGCUCCAUAAAGGAGACAAACAACACAUGGGAGGUCGCCCUUAGAUAGCUAGUUCUUGAUAGGAUUUUACUAAAUGUAAACCAAUCAAACAAAUUCUACCUAUACUGGCUUUAUCGGACAAUUUCUGUACCAAGUUUGGUUGCAUUUCAAACAAAAUUAGUGCCAUUCAAUUUGUAGAUCCUCUACAUUCCCUAUUCAUGCUUUAUUGAACUCUCUUCACAAGCUGUCAGCUGACCACUGGCCACUUUCCUUCAAAAAUGACCACUUACCACAUCCGUGGAAGUGAAGGCAUGUAAUACAGUACUGUACCCUGCCCGUUCCUGGAAGCAAGACGUUAUUUCGAUUUAAAUUAUGCGGAAAAUACAUCACCAAAUAAGUUUCCUAAAAUAUUUGUGGUCUUCUCCAAAAAAAAAAUAAAAUCCGAUAUACAUUUAUUUAUUUUGUCAGUUUUAGAAUUUCAUGCAACCAAUAUUCAAUCUACUGCUUUUCAUGUUCUCGUGUACAGUGUACUAUUCCUGUGUAAUGAUACAUUAUUAUUGGAUCUGAUUGUAUGUUUUAUUUAGUUAUAGAUAUCUUUUUCAAUGCAUAGACCAAAAAAAAAAUUAUCUUGUGCUGGUUUCUUGGAAUGGGACGGGUACGGGUACAGGCAUGGUUUUCGUGUUUUCGCCUCCACAGGAUCUCUCGGACAUGAGGUAGUAAGAAAUUACUGACAUACCUCAUGUAUAUUUUAUAGCCAGAUGCCCUCCCCAUAUACCCUAUAAGACCUUUUUAGAUAUCGUAACAUAUGCCCUGCCUGUGGUCCUAGGUGGCUGUUAAUUAAUCUAAUUAAAAUCUUGAUAUUCAUUCUCACUCUGUUCCAUAAACAUCGCAUAAAAGGUCACGUCAAGGUGACCUGUGAUAUUUCUGUGUUCCCAUUUUCAGGACGAAUUGUCAAGUUCUCUGUGUAAACUAUUUCGCCACAGCAUGCAUCUGAAGCAAACCACUUCAGCACAGCAUUUAUAUAGCUGUAUGCUUUGUGGGAUGAAAUUAUUGGAAUUAAAUUUACAGAUUAUGCAAGCUUUGCACUCUAAGUCAUGCUAGUUCGCACAUACAAAUUUCACUUUCAAGAUUCUGGGAGUAGUAAUUUGAUUGGCUAAUCCAGAAAGUCACCCUGACGUGACCCCUUAUGCAAUGUUGUGAGAUGUUCAUGUAACAGACUGGGAAUGAAUAUCUAGAUUUUAAUUAGAUUAGCUGUUAAUAUCAUUAACAGUUACUUGUCUUUGUUAAUGUUGCUAUCCGUUUGGUUCUCUGACCUUUGUCAAAUUCUUCUUGAUGACCAAAACCAGUGGAAAACAGAGUCGUUAGUGUUUAUAAUUAAUUCUAAUCAAUAAUAGAUCAGCUGAUGUAAUUAGCAAAUCCGGUAUAAACAUCCAUGAUUGAAUUUCUUUCUGAUGUAUUGAUGAGGGCAGACAAAAUUUAGUAGAAAUUUCGACUGGUUGAGUUAACAGGCGAGAGACAGAAAUAAGAGUUUAUUUAAGUAGAUGAUCGAAGCUCAAUAAAGCCGAUAGAAAGAACAUAUAUAAACCAUACAACAAUAAAUAAAAAAAACAUAAUAACAUUGACCAACCGAUCAUAUAAUUGUUAAUAAGGAAUUCAACCAAUAAUCAAUUAGGUAUUUUUUACUGAUUCUGAACACUAUGUCUAACACUAAUAUCAGGUGAGCGAUAUAUGUAGGCCCCAUGGGCCUCUUGUUUACUUCAAUUUGCUUGUGAAAUUAAUACAUCCAAUUUCGAAUUGAUAGAUCAUCAUUUCCACCAUUUUGAUGGAAGUAAAAAAUAGAUAAUGACCUGCUGGCCAAGAUUCAUCAAUGUUCCUUAGCUUAAGGAAAUUCUUCAACUUUUAUUGAAGGAAAGAAAUUCUUCGCUUAGAAAUAUUUCCUUCAAUUUUAUAAUGUUUUUCCGUUGGAAGAUGUUAGUUAAGGAAUUUCCUCAAGGUAAGGCACAUUGAUGAAAUCUGGGCCAGGUAACAAAAGUUUGUGGCAGUUAUUGAUAGUAACUCCUUACCUUGCUUAAUGUCUGUUCAGAUUAUAAAUCUGGCCGCUUUGUGAACCUUAACAAAAUUAUCCACACUGUAUUAUUUAAGUUCCUGUAUCCUUAUCUGUGAUCCGAAUAAUGCAUCUUCUCAUCGAUUCAAUUUUUGUUCUUAGCAUAAUACAAUGUAUGAUUUUUCUUCUCAAAGGGUACUAAAUCUCCAAAACUUGUCAUACAUACAAUAUACUUUUUAUUGUUUUGUUUAAGAUGUGUAUCAUGUUGUUUAUGUGCAUGCAUUUUAGUAUGUAAAGAAUCUCUGGAAUCCUGUAUAAAAAAAAAAAAAAAAAAAAAUCAUUACCUGGGUUUA